GGGGCUGACUAUAGCUUUCGACGGAAGGAUUUUAACAGAUUAUUUUGCAAGUCGACCGUAGGCGUAACCUACACAUUUUAAUUGCAAACAAACUUGCAUCAGUAAAAGAAUUCUUCGGUUCGAUCGCUAACGCUUUCAAGCCAGUUUCUUUUGCGCCAGCUUUAGUUUAAAACCUUUAGCCGUCAUAUUGUUCAGGUAACAUAGAGCGAUGUGGCGUUAUAUACAUGUUACUUACCGGUGUUGAGGGCAGCAACGCAACAACGGAAAAUUUUAUUGCGCGACAAUCGAAACACGUUGUGUUUGACUUUUAGUUUCAAGAGUCGUUAAAACCUAAGUCGAACUAUACUUGUAGACAAAUAAUCAGUUACCUUUCGGACCGGGGUGCGAUUCCCCGCAGCUCCACCA
This 405-nucleotide transfer-messenger RNA is filed under the name Candidatus Saccharimonadota bacterium. It matches the Rfam family "transfer-messenger RNA". From Rfam's summary of the family: Bacterial tmRNA, also known as 10Sa RNA or SsrA, is named for its dual tRNA and mRNA-like properties. Its role is to liberate the mRNA from a stalled ribosome. The record is from RNAcentral. Lineage: Bacteria; Candidatus Saccharimonadota.